UACAGAGGGGGCAAGCGUUGUUCGGAAUUACUGGGCGUAAAGGGCGCGUAGGCGGCCUGUUAAGUCGAACGUGAAAUCCCCGGGCUCAACCCGGGAACUGCGUCCGAUACUGGCAGGCUUGAAUCCGGGAGAGGGAUGCGGAAUUCCAGGUGUAGCGGUGAAAUGCGUAGAUAUCUGGAGGAACACCGGUGGCGAAGGCGGCAUCCUGGACCGGUAUUGACGCUGAGGCGCGAAAGCGUGGGGAGCGAACAGG
Molecule: ribosomal RNA, 253 nt
Filed under: uncultured bacterium
Lineage: Bacteria
Description: partial 16S ribosomal RNA
Rfam family: Bacterial small subunit ribosomal RNA
Source: RNAcentral